AGGGCACCACCAGGAGUGGAGCCUGCGGCUUAAUUUGACUCAACACGGGAAAACUCACCCGGCCCGGACACUGGAAGGAUUGACAGAUUGAGAGCUCUUUCUUGAUUCAGUGGGUGGUGGUGCAUGGCCGUUCUUAGUUGGUGGAGUGAUUUGUCUGGUUAAUUCCGAUAACGAACGAGACUCUAGCCUAUUAAAUAGAUCGUUGGCUUACAAACGCCAGCGAGACUUCUUAGAGGGACAGGCGGCGAUUCAGCCGCACGAAACAGAGCAAUAACAGGUCUGUGAUGCCCUUAGAUGUCCGGGGCCGCACGCGCGCUACACUGAAGUGAUCAGCGUGCAUUUUGAAACCUACUCUGUCAAGAGUGGGGAACCCAAUGAACCUUCUUCGUGAUUGGGAUAGGGGAUUGUAAUUAUUCCCCUUGAACGAGGAAUUCCCAGUAAGCGCGAAUCAUAAGUUUGCGCUGAUUACGUCCCUGCCCUUUGUACACACCGCCCGUCGCUACUACCGAUUGAAUGUUU
RNAcentral lists this ribosomal RNA (519 nucleotides) under uncultured eukaryote. Its description in RNAcentral is "SSU rRNA". It matches the Rfam family "Eukaryotic small subunit ribosomal RNA", at positions 1161 to 1698 of the family's 1831-position model. The record is from RNAcentral.